This 826-nucleotide ribosomal RNA is filed under the name uncultured Actinomycetes bacterium. RNAcentral describes it as "bacterial SSU rRNA". It matches the Rfam family "Bacterial small subunit ribosomal RNA", at positions 556 to 1377 of the family's 1533-position model. Lineage: Bacteria; Bacillati; Actinomycetota; Actinomycetes. The record is from RNAcentral.
GGGCGUAAAGGGCUCGUAUGUGGUUGAUCGCCUCGGAAGUGUAAUCUUGGGGCUUAACCCUGAGCGUGCUUUCGAUACGGGUUGACUUGAGGAAGGUAGGGGAGAAUGGAAUUCCUGGUGGAGCGGUGGAAUGCGCAGAUAUCAGGAGGAACACCAGUGGCGAAGGCGGUUCUCUGGGCCUUUCCUGACGCUGAGGAGCGAAAGCGUGGGGAGCGAACAGGCUUAGAUACCCUGGUAGUCCACGCUGUAAACGGUGGGUACUAGGUGUGGGGUCCAUUCCACGGGUUCCGUGCCGUAGCUAACGCUUUAAGUACCCCGCCUGGGGAGUACGGCCGCAAGGCUAAAACUCAAAGGAAUUGACGGGGCCCCGCACAAGCGGCGGAGCAUGCGGAUUAAUUCGAUGCAACGCGUAGAACCUUACCUGGGUUUGACAUGGAUCGGGAGUGCUCAGAGAUGGGUGUGCCUCUUUUGGGGUCGGUUCACAGGUGGUGCAUGGCUGUCGUCAGCUCGUGUCGUGAGAUGUUGGGUUAAGUCCCGCAACGAGCGCAACCCUUGUUCACUGUUGCCAGCACGUUAUGGUGGGGACUCAGUGGAGACCGCCGGGGUCAACUCGGAGGAAGGUGGGGAUGACGUCAAGUCAUCAUGCCCCUUAUGUCCAGGGCUUCACGCAUGCUACAAUGGCUGGUACAGAGAGUGGCGAGCCUGUGAGGGUGAGCGAAUCUCGGAAAGCCGGUCUCAGUUCGGAUUGGGGUCUGCAACUCGACCUCAUGAAGUCGGAGUCGCUAGUAAUCGCAGAUCAGCAACGCUGCGGUGAAUACGUUCCCGG